RNAcentral lists this ribosomal RNA (466 nucleotides) under uncultured bacterium. Its description in RNAcentral is "partial 16S ribosomal RNA". It matches the Rfam family "Bacterial small subunit ribosomal RNA", at positions 29 to 507 of the family's 1533-position model. The record is from RNAcentral.
ACGAACGCUGGCGGCGUGCUUAACACAUGCAAGUCGAACGGAAAGGCCUCUUUCGGGGGGUACUCGAGUGGCGAACGGGUGAGUAACACGUGAGUAGCCUGCCCUUGACUUUGGGAUAACUUCAGGAAACUGGGGCUAAUACCGGAUAGGAGCUCCUGCUGCAUGGUGGGGGUUGGAAAGUUUCGGCGGUUGGGGAUGGACUCGCGGCUUAUCAGCUUGUUGGUGGGGUAGUGGCUUACCAAGGCUUUGACGGGUAGCCGGCCUGAGAGGGUGACCGGCCACAUUGGGACUGAGAUACGGCCCAGACUCCUACGGGAGGCAGCAGUGGGGAAUAUUGCACAAUGGGUGGAAGCCUGAUGCAGCAACGCCGUGUGCGGGAUGACGGCCUUCGGGUUGUAAACCGCUUUCGCUCAUGACGAAGCUUUGUGUGACGGUAGUGGGUAAAGAAGCACCGGCUAACUACGUG